This is a microRNA precursor of Gossypium arboreum, 136 nucleotides long. It matches the Rfam family "MIR7502 microRNA precursor family". Lineage: Eukaryota; Viridiplantae; Streptophyta; Magnoliopsida; Malvales; Malvaceae. The record is from Rfam.
UAUUAAAAAGUCAUCUAUUUUUACUGUUAAAAACUAAUAUGAUUGGCGAAAUAACCAGAUAUGAUAUGCCACGUGUACCUCAUGCUAACAUAUGGAAACAAGUUUUUAAUAAUAAAAAUAGGUUGAGCCUUUAACA